RNAcentral lists this ribosomal RNA (873 nucleotides) under uncultured Aminicenantes bacterium. Its description in RNAcentral is "bacterial SSU rRNA". It matches the Rfam family "Bacterial small subunit ribosomal RNA", at positions 633 to 1501 of the family's 1533-position model. Lineage: Bacteria; Candidatus Aminicenantota. The record is from RNAcentral.
CUGUCAGACUUGAGAGUGGUAGAGGAAAGCGGAAUUCUCGGUGUAAGGGUGAAAUCUGUGGAUAUCGAGAAGAACAUCAACGGCGAAGGCAGCUUUCUGGGCCAUUUCUGACACUGAAUUGCGAAAGCUAGGGUAGCAAACAGAAUUAGAUACUCUGGUAGUCCUAGCUGUAAACGAUGAGCACUAGGUGUUGGCCCCCUACGGGGUCGGUGCCGCAGCUAACGCAUUAAGUGCUCCACCUGGGGGCUACGGCCGCAAGGCUAAAACUCAAAGGAAUUGACGGGGACCCGCACAAGCGGUGGAACAUGUGGUUUAAUUCGAUGCUACGCGAAAAACCUCACCAGGGUUUGACACGUAAGAAGUAGUGAACUGAAAGGGAAUCGACCUGUCAAGUCAGGAACUUACACAGGUGCUGCAUGGCUGUCGUCAGCUCGUGUCGUGAGAUGUUGGGUUAAGUCCCGCAACGAGCGCAACCAUUAUCUUUAGUUGCUAAUUUUGUUACCACUUGUGGAAGCAGAAAGCACUUUAAAGAGACUGCCUGGGUUAACCAGGAGGAAGGCGGAGAUGACGUCAAGUCAGUACGGCCUUUAUGCCCUGGGCUACACACGUGUUACAAUGGUCGGCACAAAGGGUUGCCAACCCGCGAGGGGGAGCUAAUCUCAAAAAGUCGGCCCCAGUUCGGAUUGGAGUCUGAAAUUCGACUCCAUGAAGCCGGAAUCGCUAGUAAUGGUAGAUCAGCACGCUACCGUGAAUACGUUCCCGGGUCUUGUACACACCGCCCGUCAAGCGAUGGAAGUUGGUAGUACCCGAAGUCCUAUGUAGAUAGGCCGAAGGUAAGAUCGGCGACUGGCGCUAAGUCGUAACAAGGUAACC